This 253-nucleotide ribosomal RNA is filed under the name uncultured bacterium. Its description in RNAcentral is "partial 16S ribosomal RNA". It matches the Rfam family "Bacterial small subunit ribosomal RNA", at positions 524 to 776 of the family's 1533-position model. The record is from RNAcentral.
GACGUAGGGGGCCAGCGUUGUUCGGAAUUACUGGGUGUAAAGGGUUCGUAGGCGGUGCGGUAAGUUGGGGGUGAAAUCUCUGGGCUUAACCCAGAGGCUGCUUUCGAAACUGCUGUGCUUGAGUGUGGGAGAGGCGCGUGGAAUUGCAGGUGUAGCGGUGAAAUGCGCAGAUAUCGGGAGGAACACCAAUGGCGAAGGCAGCUCGCUGGGACGGUACUGACGCUGAGGCGCGAAAGCGUGGGGAGCAAACAGG